CUGGGCUAGACAACGGUGGACCGUCCUAGAAAUAGGAUUUUCCCUUCGGGGACUGCCGGUUCAGGUGCUGCAUGGCUGUCGUCAGCUCGUGCCGUGAGGUGUUGGGUUAAGUCCCGCAACGAGCGCAACCCUCGUCCUUAGUUGCCACCAUUCAGUUGGGCACUCUAGGGAGACUGCCGGCGUUAAGCCGGAGGAAGGUGGGGACGACGUCAAGUCAUCAUGGCCCUUAUGCCCAGGGCCACACACGUGCUACAAUGGACGGUACAAAGGGUCGCAAACCCGUGAGGGGGAGCCAAUCCCAAAAAGCCGUUCUCAGUUCGGAUUGGAGUCUGCAACUCGACUCCAUGAAGUUGGAAUCGCUAGUAAUCGCGGAUCAGCACGCCGCGGUGAAUACGUUCCC
Molecule: ribosomal RNA, 400 nt
Filed under: uncultured bacterium
Lineage: Bacteria
Description: bacterial SSU rRNA
Rfam family: Bacterial small subunit ribosomal RNA
Source: RNAcentral